RNAcentral lists this long non-coding RNA (1170 nucleotides) under Felis catus (domestic cat). RNAcentral describes it as "lncRNA (ENSFCAG00000053062.1)". The record is from RNAcentral. Lineage: Eukaryota; Metazoa; Chordata; Mammalia; Carnivora; Felidae.
AUGAUACAUGAUGUGCAUCUGCUCCUUUUUUUUAAAAUUAUUUUUUUUUUUUAUUUUAUUUUUGAGAGAGAGAGACAGAGCGAAAGCUGGGGAGGGGCAGAGAGAGGGGAAGACACAAUCCGAAGCAGGCUCCAGGCUCCCAGCUGUCAGCACAGAGCCCGACGUGGGGCUCGAACCCGUGACUCACGAGAUCGUGACCUGAGCCGAAGUCGGACGCUUAACCGACUGAGCUACCAGGCGCCCCAGCAUCUGCUCAUUCUUUUUUCAGUGGCCAGCUUGGAUGUUCCCAGGAGUUGAUCGCAUUGUCUCGUUAUGCAAUGGUCAUGUUGCCUCCUCCUUUCUAAUAACAUUCUAUUUCUGGUGUCUGCCUUAUUCAGCCAGGCAGAACUUCCAGAAUAAUACCAGGUAAACCGGCGAGGGGGGGUAUUUCUUCAUCCCACUCUCUGUGGCCCCUCCAUCCUGUCCUCGUGGUAAUCUGUGGAAGUGCUCCCAAGGGCUGUGCUCCCAGCCCCUCGGAUGGAGUAGUGACUGCUUCCCCCACACCCUGCAUUGGGGCCUGCCGUGAGGCAGACCGCAUUUUCCUGUAGAAAAUGUCUAUUCAGAAUCCAUGAGUGGACCUGAAUGCACUGGAUGGAUAGCACCUGGGGGGACAAUUGUACGGGCACAGGGAUUUGACCUGAGGCUAAUCUGUUAUCACCAUCAGUUGCCAUUUAGUUCAAAGUGACUGUCUUCUGGGAAUUCCGAAAGGCUUUGGAAGCAUGGUAUGGAUUGCUUGGGUUUUGGGGGUUUUUUUGAAGCUUUUAUUUAUUUAUUUCGAGGAAGAGAGAGACAGAGACAGAGAGAAUCCCAAGCAGACUCUGCACUGUCAAUGCAGCCUAACACAGGGCUCGAUCUCACAAACCAUGAAAUCGUGACCUGAGCUAAAAUCAAGAGUCAGAUGCUCAACAGACGGAGCCACCCAGGCGCCCCAAAUCAAGGCACACCGGAUCGAUCCCUGUCCAGGGAAAAACUUAACGUUUCUUCAUAUUUAUUCCUGUAGCCAGUAGCAGCCUUAAACCACUUAUUUGAUAAGACCUGUACUCCAAGUGAAGGAUCGAUCGUGUUUAAAGGAGACCUUUGUGUUGCUAUGAAGACAAUAUAUGCACAAAAUAAAUGAAAGCUUAAAAAACA